RNAcentral lists this long non-coding RNA (414 nucleotides) under Pelusios castaneus (West African mud turtle). RNAcentral's name for it is "lncRNA (ENSPCEG00000010524.1)". Lineage: Eukaryota; Metazoa; Chordata; Testudines; Pelomedusidae. The record is from RNAcentral.
GUGAGUGCCAUGCCAGUGCCACCAGUGUGGGGUGGAGGAGACGCGCUCGGAGAAAGCAGUUGCUCGCACAGCCCGUUUGGCUGAUUGGCCAAGAAAGAAAGAGCUCCUCUCUUCGGGUGGCAUGGCGUCCUCCGGAGACAGAGGCGUGCUCCGCUCUGCUACAGACAGCCUAGGAGUUAAUCAUCAAGGAGAUGCCAUCCUGUGGAUACUGGUAGAGAGCAGAAUGACUAAAUAAAUCAAGACAACAUAUACAACACAACAGCAGCCUAAUCUUGGUAAUCCUGGGGCAUUAAAAGAAGAAAUUGCGAAGUUCUUCUAUGCUUAGCCUCUGUGGAAAUAUAAAUAAAAGGAAACUGAAUAUAUUGUCCACACUGUUCUGGAGAACAAAGUUGUGAUAUUUUACUUUGUAGCGAC